ACCACAGAGCAGCAGGGAGUUGCUUAGACAUGUCCUAGAAGAUCCAAAAGGAGAUCAGCGCGUAAUAAUGGUAACAACUUCAAAUACAACUUCUUCAUUGGCACCUUUCAGGCCUUAGAUGGAACAAGUUAUCCAAAUAUAAAAGUGACCAAAAUUCCGUCCUCAUGCAUUGCGGAAAGUGUUGUGCCAGAGAGCAGCAGACGCAACAAGACAGGAAAGUUACAUAACAGCGGAAGGAAUUGAGACAGAUGGAACUCACAGGCAAAAUGGGUUUCAAGUUUUUCAGUCGACAGAGCAUUUCAAAUGAGACUAACACGAGACAAAGACGAUUAAGUUGGCAAACAAGAGACGGAAAUAGCCCCCAAAGUGAAACAAUUUCAUCAGCUGACUGCCAUGCUGUCAUCGGUGAUUCUGAACGGAGACUUUGUAGAGAAAUUGGUGGGGCUCUGCGCGAUAUUGGUGACAAAUUAAACGACAGCACACUUAAACUUCAUUCCAAAACCUAGUAAUGUUCUUCGGUGCCCAUCUGAUGAAAAGAGUGCAGGGAUUUGCAGGGCGCCUUUGCAACAGCAAGCUUAUCGAGCUUGUUUGGCCAAUUCGGACUGAACUUAUAGACUUGUAAAUGUUUAACAGAUGCUUUGCGUACAUUUUCAAUCAUUAUUUACAAUACAUGUGCAGUUCAGUUAUGAACAUAUAUUUAUUCUGUGUAAUACACUCAAGGCAAGGAGAUUCUUACCAGGAGCUUUAUCUUUGAAAUUUGCCGUAUAUAUAGCAAAUAUGCUGAUGAAACAAUAAAAGACACA
Long non-coding RNA from Pocillopora verrucosa, 803 nucleotides. RefSeq lists it as uncharacterized. Lineage: Eukaryota; Metazoa; Cnidaria; Anthozoa; Scleractinia; Pocilloporidae. The record is from RefSeq and is a predicted model, not a curated record.